ACUGUGCGGCACCUGCACUGACGUCGUCUCAUACGAUAUGACUUGUUUUUUUAAUUGAAUUGAAGCUUGUUGAAUAUACGCAUGAUAGCGUUGCCGGUGAACCAGACGUAAAAUUUUGAGCAAAUUCAGGGCAGAUGAAUUAACGAAAACAAACACAGCAGAGAAGUCGCGGGUAAAGACUAAAGUGAAUGUUAUUAAAAUUAGCCGUAUCCUUGAUAGUAAUUGCGGUCUUUAGUUGAAAGCCAAACAUACGUAACAACGAAUUUUAAACGUUACCUUCAAGAACGGUCCUAAUACCCUUUGUUUCUUUGCUGCUUUAUUGGGGAGAAUAAAUUUAUCCGAGUAAAUAAGCCAUUUUAAUGACCAAGCACUGAUAGUAUAGAAUAUAUAAAGACGAUUUGGGGAUUUACAUUUGUAUACACACAAGCGAGGAUUAAUUGGACGUAUACGUAUAUACCUACAACUGCUGCAUGAUGUGUUGAAGUCUUGAAGAUGAAGUGAAAAUUUCAUCCAGGCACUCAGACACGAGAAUUAUCCGAAUCACGUAUGGCGUCAAUGGAAUAGCCUCAGAACUGCUAAUCAAGAAAUGUCGAAGGUGCGGACCGCACGACGGAAAAUAGCAAAUUACAAAUCAGCGGCAGAAUUGAAUGGAAAUCAAUUUAACUAAAUUCAAAUGAUAACAAUCAUCGUAGGAAAUUAACGACGAAGAGUUUUGUUGAAUAUUGCAACAGGAAAGUCAGAAUUACAGAGAUGAACAAGAUGUCUUUUAAGAAACCAACUUAGAAGCACAAGAGAUUUAAAGAGAAGCAGCCCCCAGUAUAACUACAAAAGAUUACUUUGGAGUCCAAGGUAAAGAGGAAGUGUUCUAUAUUUCAUGUUGAACGGUAAAAGAAGACAAGUACGGUCGUUCUGAAAAACUACAGUACAGAAAUCAUAUCUUGAGAGGAUCUUAUAUAUAGUAACAAUGUUCAAUGAUGGCAAAUCAACAUUUCGAACAAGAUCAAUUCAGCUUGCAACGACACGAAAUUACAUGGAAAAAAGACGUCUGGGACAAACUAUACUGCAGUAUCAAAAAGAAUGCAGAGGAAUUAUGAAACAAUUAAGAGAUAAGCAAUAUAGCUUUUUGAAAGCAAAAUAUCCGCAUAUAGUUGCAAGGAACAGCCUGAUCAAUACCACAAGAAAGGACAAUUAUCCCUUAACUAAAACAGAGUUUAAUAAACAUAAAUCAAACCCGCCUAUGAAAAUGACAACAAUUAGGCCUGCGACAAACACUCAAACACAAAAGGAAAUGAAUACGGCGGGA
Molecule: long non-coding RNA, 1303 nt
Organism: Dendronephthya gigantea
Lineage: Eukaryota; Metazoa; Cnidaria; Anthozoa; Malacalcyonacea; Nephtheidae
Exons: 2
Source: RefSeq, a predicted model, not a curated record